AGGGAGGAAGGUAGUGUAGUUAACACCUGCAUAUUUGACGUUACCUACAGAAGAAGCACCGGCUAACUCCGUGCCAGCAGCCGCGGUAAUACGGAGGGUGCGAGCGUUAAUCGGAAUUACUGGGCGUAAAGCGCAUGCAGGCGGCCUGUUAAGUCAGAUGUGAAAGCCCCGGGGCUUAACCUCGGAAUUGCAUUUGAAAACUGGCAGGCUAGAGUCUUGUAGAGGGGGUAGAAUUUCAGGUGUAGCGGUGAAAUGCGUAGAGAUCUGAAGGAAUACCAGUGGCGAAGGCGGCCCCCUGGACAAAGACUGACGCUCAGAUGCGAAAGCGUGGGGAGCAAACAGGAUUAGAUACCCUGGUAG
Molecule: ribosomal RNA, 360 nt
Filed under: uncultured bacterium
Lineage: Bacteria
Description: bacterial SSU rRNA
Rfam family: Bacterial small subunit ribosomal RNA
Source: RNAcentral